RNAcentral lists this ribosomal RNA (460 nucleotides) under uncultured bacterium. Its description in RNAcentral is "partial 16S ribosomal RNA". It matches the Rfam family "Bacterial small subunit ribosomal RNA", at positions 338 to 795 of the family's 1533-position model. The record is from RNAcentral.
CCUACGGGAGGCAGCAGUGAGGAAUAUUGGUCAAUGGGCGGGAGCCUGAACCAGCCAAGCCGCGUGAGGGAAGAAGGUACAGCGUAUCGUAAACCUCUUUUGUCAGGGAACAAAGGCGGGGACUAGUCCCCGGAUGAGGGUGCCUGAUUAAGAAGCCCCGGCUAACUACGUGCCAGCAGCCGCGGUAAUACGUAGGGGGCAAGCGUUAUCCGGAUUUACUGUGUGUAAAGGGAGCGUAGACGGCAGCACAAGUCUGGAGUGAAAUGCCGGGGCUUAACCCCGGAACUGCUUUGGAAACUGUGCAGCUAGAGUGCAGGAGAGGUAAGUGGAAUUCCUAGUGUAGCGGUGAAAUGCGUAGAUAUUAGGAGGAACACCAGUGGCGAAGGCGGCUUACUGGACUGUAACUGACGUUGAGGCUCGAAAGCGUGGGGAGCAAACAGGAUUAGAUACCCGAGUAGUC